RNAcentral lists this ribosomal RNA (1187 nucleotides) under Escherichia coli. RNAcentral's name for it is "partial 23S ribosomal RNA". It matches the Rfam family "Bacterial large subunit ribosomal RNA", at positions 866 to 1921 of the family's 2925-position model. Lineage: Bacteria; Pseudomonadati; Pseudomonadota; Gammaproteobacteria; Enterobacterales; Enterobacteriaceae. The record is from RNAcentral.
CUAUUUAGGUAGAGCCUUGAGGUGACACCUUUGGGGGUAGAGCACUGUUUCGGCUAGGGGUCCAUCCCGGAUUACCAACCCGAUGCAAACUACGAAUACCAAAGAGUGAUACUCAGGAGACACACGGCGGGUGCUAACGUCCGUCGUGGAGAGGGAAACAACCCAGACCGCCAGCUAAGGUCCCCAAGUCUAUAUUAAGUGGGAAACGAAGUGGGAAGGCUUAGACAGCUAGGAUGUUGGCUUAGAAGCAGCCAUCAUUUAAAGAAAGCGUAAUAGCUCACUAGUCGAGUCGGCCUGCGCGGAAGAUGUAACGGGGCUGAAAUAUAGCACCGAAGCUGCGGCAUCAGGCGUAUCACUAAUACGCCUUACGAUUAACAAGCUAGAAUGGCGCGAAGCGGCAUGAAAGGUUGUUCAAGCAACCCGAACGUUGAGUCGGGGUAUUUUUGAAGUAAGGAUUAUUAGUGAUACGCCUGUUGGGUAGGGGAGCGUUGUGUAAGCGGAUGAAGGUUAAUCGAGAGGUUAGCUGGACGUAUCACAAGUGCGAAUGCUGACAUAAGUAACGAUAAAACGGGUGAAAAACCCGUUCGCCGGAAGACCAAGGGUUCCUGUCCAACGUUAAUCGGGGCAGGGUGAGUCGGCUCCUAAGGCGAGGCUGAAAAGCGUAGUCGAUGGGAAACAGGUUAAUAUUCCUGUACUUGGUAAAGCUGCGAUGUGGGGACGGAGUAGGUUAGGUUAUCGCACUGUUGGAUAUGUGCGUUUAAGUUGGUAGGUGGGAAGUUUAGGCAAAUCCGGACUUCCUUAACACAGAGAGAUGAUGACGAGGCUCUACGGAGCUGAAGUAACUGAUACCACACUUCCAGGAAAAGCCACUAAGCGAAAGGCUUUACUAAACCGUACUGAAAACCGACACAGGUGGUCAGGUAGAGAAUACUCAGGCGCUUGAGAGAACUCGGGUGAAGGAACUAGGCAAAAUAGCACCGUAACUUCGGGAGAAGGUGCGCCGGCGUAGAUUGUAGUCCCUAGCGGGCGAAGGUUGAACCGGUCGAAGAUACCAGCUGGCUGCAACUGUUUAUUAAAAACACAGCACUCUGCAAACACGAAAGUGGACGUAUAGGGUGUGAUGCCUGCCCGGUGCUGGAAGGUUAAUUGAUGGUGUCAUCGCAAGAGAAGCACCUGAUCGAAGCCCC